UACGUCGGUGGCAAGCGUUGUCCGGAAUUAUUGGGCGUAAAGCGCGCGCAGGCGGUCCUUUAAGUCUGAUGUGAAAGCCCACGGCUCAACCGUGGAGGGUCAUUGGAAACUGGGGGACUUGAGUGCAGAAGAGGAAAGCGGAAUUCCACGUGUAGCGGUGAAAUGCGUAGAGAUGUGGAGGAACACCAGUGGCGAAGGCGGCUUUCUGGUCUGUAACUGACGCUGAGGCGCGAAAGCGUGGGGAGCAAACAGG
Molecule: ribosomal RNA, 253 nt
Filed under: uncultured bacterium
Lineage: Bacteria
Description: partial 16S ribosomal RNA
Rfam family: Bacterial small subunit ribosomal RNA
Source: RNAcentral